UUCCCCCAGUAAUGGCGAAUGAAGUGGGAACAGCUCAAAUUUGAAAUCUGCGUCGCUUGCGACGUCGAAUUGUAGUUUCUAGAAGCAUCUUCCAGGCGGAUCCGGCGUCGUCCAAGUUGCUUGGAACAGCACGUCAUAGAGGGUGACAACCCCGUCUGUGGCGGUGCCGGCCGCUGGCGAUGUGCUUUCGAAGAGUCGGGUUGUUUGGGAAUGCAGCCCAAAAUGGGUGGUAAACUCCAUCUAAAGCUAAAUAUCGGCACGAGACCGAUAGCGAACAAGUACCGUGAGGGAAAGAUGAAAAGCACUUUGAAAAGAGAGUUAAAAAGUACGUGAAACCGUUGAAAGGGAAACGGAUGGGGUUAGCAAUGCGCCUCGCGAGAUUCAGCCGGGCCUCGCUUCGGGCGGGCGGUUUUUGCGGAUCUGAAUGGACCGCGGCCGUCCGGUUCGGAGCGUCGACCGUCGCACUUCUCGCGGGCGCGUGCCAACGUCGGUUGUCUUCGUGUCUCAAAGGGCUCGGGAAGGUAGGUUCUCUCUCUCGGGAGAGAUCUGUUAUAGACCGGGUCCGCAUGGCUCGAGGGCGACCGAGGAGUCGCGGUGCGUGCCUUUUAUGGCUAGGGUCCCGUCGGACCGGCCGGUUGUCGACUGUGGCGGACUGCGUGCAGUGCGUCGCGACUGCUGCCGGUCGCUCCGGUGGUGAUCUCAUACUCACGCGCCAAGGACGUUGGCGAUCACAUGGCCUCAUUCGACCCGUCUUGAAACACGGACCAAGGAGUCUAACAUGUGCGCGAGUCUUUGAGUGAAGGAAACUCGCCGGCGCAAUGAAAGUGAAGACGGCCUCGUCGUCGUCGAGGUGAGAGGUCGUCCCUCGGGGCGGCUGCAUCAUCGACCGACCUAUUCUGCUCUCAGGAAGGUUUGAGUAAGAGCGCAUU
Molecule: ribosomal RNA, 929 nt
Filed under: Diadumene leucolena
Lineage: Eukaryota; Metazoa; Cnidaria; Anthozoa; Actiniaria; Diadumenidae
Description: eukaryotic LSU rRNA
Rfam family: Eukaryotic large subunit ribosomal RNA
Source: RNAcentral